UACAGAGGGGGCUAGCGUUAUUCGGAAUUAUUGGGCGUAAAGGGCGCGUAGGCGGCCAUGCGUGUCUUCUGUGAAAUCCCUCGGCUUAACUGAGGACGUGCGGAAGAAACUGCAAGGCUCGAGUCCGGGAGAGGGGGGUGGAAUUCCCAGUGUAGCGGUGAAAUGCGUAGAUAUCAGGAAGAACGCCCGUGGCGAAGGCGGCUCGCUGGGACGGUACUGACGCUGAGACGCGAAAGCGUGGGGAGCGAACAGG
This 253-nucleotide ribosomal RNA is filed under the name uncultured bacterium. Its description in RNAcentral is "partial 16S ribosomal RNA". It matches the Rfam family "Bacterial small subunit ribosomal RNA", at positions 524 to 776 of the family's 1533-position model. The record is from RNAcentral.